UACGGGAGGCAGCAGUGGGGAAUAUUGCACAAUGGGCGAAAGCCUGAUGCAGCUAUGCCGCGUGUAUGAAGAAGGCCUUAGGGUUGUAAAGUACUUUCAUCGGGGAGGAAAAAACAAAACUAAUAAUUUUAUUUCUUGACGUUACCCGAAAAAGAAGCACCGGCUAACUCCGUGCCAGCAGCCGCGGUAAUACGGAGGGUGCUAGCGUUAAUCAGAAUUACUGGGCGUAAAGAGCACGUAGGUGGUUUUUUUAAAGUCAGAUGUGAAAUCCCUGGGCUUAACCUAGGAACUGCAUUUUGAAACUGAAAUACUAGAGUAUCGUAGAGGGAGGUAGAAUUCUAGGUGUAGCGGUGAAAUGCGUAGAUAUCUGGAGGAAUACCUGUGGCGAAAGCGGCCUCCUAAACGAAUACUGACAUUGAGGUGCGAAAGCGUGGGGAGCAAACAGGGAUUAGAUACC
This 457-nucleotide ribosomal RNA is filed under the name uncultured bacterium. Its description in RNAcentral is "bacterial SSU rRNA". It matches the Rfam family "Bacterial small subunit ribosomal RNA", at positions 340 to 786 of the family's 1533-position model. The record is from RNAcentral.